This 468-nucleotide ribosomal RNA is filed under the name uncultured bacterium. RNAcentral describes it as "partial 16S ribosomal RNA". It matches the Rfam family "Bacterial small subunit ribosomal RNA", at positions 28 to 507 of the family's 1533-position model. The record is from RNAcentral.
GAUGAACGCUGGCGGCGUGCUUAACACAUGCAAGUCGAACGGUGAAGCCGGAGAUUGUUCUGCUGGGUGAGUGGCGAACGGGUGAGAAACCCGUGAGUAACCUGCCCCUGACUCUGGGAUAAGGACUGGAAACGGCGUAUAAUACUGGAUAUGCGCUGGAAAGUCAGGUUCAGCAGGUGGAAAGAACUUUGGGAAGGGAUGGGCUCGCGGCGUAUCAUCUUGUUGGUGAGGUAACGGAUCACCAAGGCGUCGAAGGGUAGCCGGCCUGAGAGGAUGACCGGCCACACUGGGACUGAGACACGGCCCAGAGUCGUACUUGAGGCAGCAGUGGCGAAUAUUGCACAGUGGGCCCACGCGUGAGGCAGCAGCGUCGCGUUUGGGAAGACGGCCUUCGGGUUGUAAACCUGUUUUAGCUGGGAAGAAGCGCUAGUGACGGUACCUGCAGAAUAAGCACCGGCUAACUACGUG